UCAGCUAUGGUUUAUUGGAUCAUACCCGUUAAAUGGAGCUAAUACAUGCCCCGAAGCCCUGACCCGUGAAGGAAUAAGUGCACUUAUUAGAUCAGAAGCCAAGCAGGUAGUGUUCGUCUGCCUUCGGGUGAAAGCUCCGCUGCCUGUCAUCCUUCUGGUGAAUAUGGACAAUUUUUACAGAUCGCAGUGGGCAUUGAAUCGGCGACGGGUCCUUUAAAUGUCUGCCCUAUCAACUUUCGCUGGUAGGUAACCUGCAUACCAUGGUGAUAACGGGUAACGGGGAAUCAGGGUUCGAUUCCGGAGAGGGCGCAUGAAACGGCUACAACUUCCAAAGGAAGCAGCAGGCGCACAAAUUACCCACUCCCAGUACGGGUAUGUGGUGACGAAAUAUACCGAUGCACGACUCUUAUUGAGGCUCCGUAAUCGGAAUGAGUGAACUCUAAAUCCUUUCGCGAGGAUCAAUUGGAGGGCAACUCUUGUGCCAGCAGCCGCGGUCACUCCAGCUCCAAUAGCGUAAAUUAAAUUUGCUGCAGUUAAAAAGCUCGUAGAUGGAUCUUGGUAUCACUGUCGCCUGCAAGUUCUCGGCUGAUUUUUCGUUGUAGGUGUAGGUGAAGGCAUGGUUAUGCUCGAGUUGGCGUGGCGGUGGUUUCACCUUUCAGCCAUGUCUGUGGU
RNAcentral lists this non-coding RNA (672 nucleotides) under Schistocephalus solidus. RNAcentral describes it as "Eukaryotic small subunit ribosomal RNA". It matches the Rfam family "Eukaryotic small subunit ribosomal RNA", at positions 106 to 761 of the family's 1831-position model. The record is from Rfam by way of RNAcentral. Lineage: Eukaryota; Metazoa; Platyhelminthes; Cestoda; Diphyllobothriidea; Diphyllobothriidae.